Molecule: long non-coding RNA, 5773 nt
Filed under: Brassica napus (rape)
Lineage: Eukaryota; Viridiplantae; Streptophyta; Magnoliopsida; Brassicales; Brassicaceae
Description: long non-coding RNA (BNAP_LNC023429)
Source: RNAcentral
CAGGAUAUACGAGUUCCCAAGAUCAACGUGAUCUCAGUACGUCUCGGUGAGCUUACACCAGCUCACAAGGGUAAUAUCCUUGAUGCAGAGAACAAGAAAGAUCACUUACCAAGCUCACGUCACUCACCGUUACAGAGAUUUAACCCAAAGAAGAAAACCAAAGAUGAACAAGCUUUUAUGAAAAAACAAGUCACACUCUCACGUAGCUUUUCUCUCACCCUCUCUCUAUCUUCUUUUCUCUGUGUAUUUGUGAAUUGUGUAGACCUCUUACUUGAUCCCUCUCUCACUGAUGAUUAUAUAUUCUGCAUCAAUACCCUUCUUCUUCCAGCUCCUGCUUUUUUACUUGUCAUUGAUUGACACCUACCAAUGACUCAGUUUCUCUGUUUCUUGGAAGCUAAAAACAGGACACAUUGUCGUUACUUCUUUGCAGGGUUUCCUCUGUCACAGACUUCUUGGGCUUGCUGUAACCACUAAGCCCACUGCAGAAGAAUAGCCCACCUAUCUGAGCCCAAUCACAACAACGACAAUCUCCAUCUUGAUUGGUUCAGAUAGAACUCCCGAGAGAUUCACCUCCCUCGAUGCCUCUCCAACUUGACCACCGGAGACUUAGCUCAUCUUAGAGCUAAAUUCAGUGCCUAAGCACCUUCAGGUAAUCCAAUCCCUCUUCAAAUUUCUUCACCGGUACUGGUUUUGUAAGUAAAUCAGCCGGAUUUACCUUGGUGUUGAUCUUCGAAAUUUUCAGGGAUCCAUCAGCCACUACAUCACGAAUGAAAUGAUAUCGAACAUCGAUAUGUUUCGUCCUUUCGUGAUGAACACUAUUUUUGGCUAAGCAAAUAGCGCUCUGGGAAUCACAAAAGAUUUCAACUUGCUCCUGUAGAAAACCCAAUUCACCAGCAAUUCCUUUCAACCAAAGAGCUUCCUUGGCUGCUUCAACCAAAGCCAUGUACUCAGCUUCUGUUGUUGAUAAAGCGACAAUGUGUUGGAGUCCAGAACGCCAACUGAUUGUAUUCCCACCGGCUUGGAAGACAUAACCGGUAAUUGACCUUCUUCUAUCUAAAUCUGCAGCAUAGUCACUAUCACAAUAGCCUCUGACUGCAAACUUAUCAGGCUUAGUGAAUGUUAGCUUGAAAUCUGUUGUAUCCCUUAUGUAUCUCAACACCCAUUUAACUGCCAUCCAAUGUUCUUUGCAAGGUGAGCUCAUGAAUCUGCUAACCAGUCCCACAGCAUGAGCAAUAUCAGGUCUUGUGCCAACCAUGGAGUACAUGAGACUCCCAACAGCACUAGAAUAAGGUAUGUCACUCAUCUCAAUCUCUGUAUCAGACUUAUCCUCUGUCUUAGUACUAGACAAUUUGAAAUGAGUUCCCAUAGGAGUCUGAACUGGUCUAGCUUCUAACAUACCAUAAUUCUUAAGAACUCUUUCAAGAUAAUCUUGCUGAGAUACUUGAAGAAUACCUUUCUUUCUAUCUCUGAAAAUAUCAAUACCAAGUAUUCUUCUAGCUGCUCCGAGAUCUUUCAUCUCAAACUCUUUGCUUAAAAUGUCUUUCAGUCUUGUGAUCUCCUUUAUGUCUCUAGCUGCUACUAACAUAUCAUCAACAUAUAGCAGUAGAUAAACAUAAUUAUUAUCACCAAGACACUUGAAAUAUAAACAAGAGUCGUAUUGGCUUCUUGUAUACUUCUGUCUUUUCAUAAACUGAUCAAACCUCAAGUUCCACUGUCGUGGUGAUUGCUUCAACCCAUACAACGAUCUUUGUAGCAAACAAACCUGAUUAUCCUUCUCAAAACCUUGUGGUUGUUCCAUCAGAAUUUUCUCAUCUAGAUUUCCAUGUAGAAAAGCGGUUUUUACAUCCAACUGUUCUAACUCUAAAUCUUGAUCGACUACCAUCGAUAACACCAGUCUUAUAGUAGUAUGCUUCACUACCGGUGAGAAAACCUCGUGAUAAUCAAUCCCCUCAAUCUGAGAAAACCCUUUAGCAACUAACCUAGCUUUGUAUCUAGGUUCCUCCAUUCCUAUUAUUCCUGGUUUGAGCUUAAAAAUCCAUUUGCACCCAAUGGUUCUUUCUUUCUCAGGUCUUCGGAUCAGUUUCCAUGUAUGAUUCUUUAGAAGAGAAUUCAUCUCCUCAUUUGUAGCAGCAAUCCACUUCAUUCGGUCUUGACAGCUUAUUGCUUCUUCAUAAGUCUGAGGUUCUUCUGUAUUCAUGAAUUCAAUAACAUUCAAAGCAUAUGCAGCUAUAUCCUGAUCGUCAAACCUACUGGGAGGUUUAAUGUUCAAUCUUCUUUCUCUAUCUCUUGCAAGCUGAUAGUCUUGAAGUCCUUUUUCAUCAGACUCUUCUUCUGAAUCUUCCACUACCUGAUCAUCCCCUGAAGAAACUCCAUCUUCGUCUGAACUGUCCGCUUUAGAUUCAGAAGUUUCACCUUCAUCACUCUCAUUUGGCAGAAUGAAAGAGACUUUCUUCACUUGCCUCUUUUCUUUCUCUUUGGGCUCUCUUGACACCUUCACUAUAUCUUUAUAUAGUAUGUCUUCACAGAAAGUAACAUCUCUGCUUAUGAUGCACUUCCUUUCAUCAACACUCCAAAUCCUAUAUCCUUUUACACCUUGUGGAUAUCCCAUAAAAAUUCCCUUUUUAGCUCUUGACUUUAGUUUCCCCUGAUCAGCAUAGUAAUAAACCAGACAUCCAAAUCUUCUCAUAUGUAAAUAUUCUGGCUCUCUACCUGACCAUACCUCUUCUGGAACUCGAAAAUUCAAUGGUGCUGAAGGAGUUCUGUUGAUCAUGUAAACCACUGUAGAAGAAGCUUCUGCCCAGUAAGAUUCUCCUAACCCAGUUUCACUCAGCAAACUCUUAACCUUCUCUAGAAUGGUUCUAUUCAACCUCUCAGCUACUCCAUUUUGUUGUGGAGUAUAUGGACACGUCUUGUGUCUCAUGAUCCCUUUAGAUUUGCAAAAGUCAUCAAAGAUCUUGUUGCAAUAUUCCAAGCCAUUAUCUGUUCUUAAUGCUUUUAACUUCUUUUCGCUUUGAUUCUCGACUAAUGCCAACCAUUCAACAAAUUUAGAGAAAGCUUCAUCUUUUGUUUUGAGAAAAUAAAUCCAAACCUUUCUAGAAAAGUCAUCCACAAAAGAUAUGUAGUACUGACACUUAGACAAGCUUGGUGUCACAUUUGGAGAACCCCACAAAUCUGAAUGGACAUACUCCAGAACAGCCUUUGAAGUAUGUUUUCCUGUUUUAAAAGACAGCUUAUGAGAUUUACCUAGUAUGCAGAACUCACACUGCUUCAUCUCUGAAAUCUCAUCAUCUUUUAACAGCUCGUUUUUAACCAGUAGUUGCAAUCCUUUAUUACUUAUAUGGCCAAGUCUGCUAUGCCAUAAAGUAGUCUUUUCUACUGCUCCAAUAGCUGCAUUCAUGUGUCCUAGUCCUGGUUUUCCAUCAAGGAAAUACAAGGUGUCUUUGUAAUCACCAGCUAGAACUUCCUUGUCAUCUUUAAAGACUUGUAAUCUGUAGUUUCUAGACUGAAACCAACAGCCGUGAGUUUCAAGUUGUCCCAAGGAAAUCAAAUUCCUUCUUGCUGCAGGAGAGUAUCUAACUUUAGUUAAUACAACUUCACUCUUGUUGUAGUUAACUAUCUUAAUCUUUCCGAUGGCUGUAAUUUCACAAUAGGUAUCAUUACCCAUUAGAAUUUUACCACCAUCAAUCUCUUCUACAUCAAACAUUAGAUCCUUUCUACAUGUCAUAUGAUAUGAACAUCCAGAAUCUAACACCCAUCCAUCUCUUGAAUGAUGUGUUCAGAAGCAGUUAACAUCACAGGCUCUGUCCAUUGUGACUUACCAAUAUCAGCCUCAGCUUUAUUGCUUCUGUACUUACUAGAGCUUGACUGAUUUCUCUUAGGACAAUCUCGCUUUAGAUGGUCUUCACUUCCACAGAUCCAGCAAGCCCUUUUACUCUUUUGUCUGGACUUACUUCUGUUUUUAAACUUUUCUUUUGAGUAAAUUCUUUUAUCAGUCCUGCCUCUUGUUUGAACCACUAACCCUUCAUCAAGAGUCUUCUGUCUAUUGGAGAUACUCUUUUCUUUUAAUUCUAGCUCUAUAGAAUAAGCAGACCGAAUUAUCUCCUUUAAUGUAAUUGUAUCUUUUCCACUGCUAUACUUCAGAGUAUGUACCAGAUGGUCAAACCUUUUAGGCAAACUGUUAAGAAGAAUUGCAGCUUGAUCCUCUUCACUCAUCUCUACAUUUAGACUUGAAAGAUCAGAUAUCAGCUUAUUGAAUGUAUCCAAGUUCUUGUCCAGAUUCUUGUCUUCGUCCAUUUUAAAGCUGUAAAAUCUUUGCUUGAGAUAGAACCUGUGUGGCAGAGUUUUCACUUGAUAUGUGUUUUCCAGUGCUGCCCACAUAUCAUGUGCUGUAGGUUCUUUGAUAACCUUUCUCAACACUAUAUCUGCCAAACUCAUACUCAAAAGAUUUCUAACCCUCCGAUCCUUCUCCAGCCACUUUGGAUCACGUUUCUUUACUUCAUGUUCAACUCCUUCUUCCUGAAUUUCUUUUCCUUUAGGAUCUGUAACAGCUUCUGGCUGAAGCACAGAGUCAAGCCCUAAGAUCUCCAACUGUGCCAAGACCUUAUGCUUCCACAAAGUAAAGUCACCUUCUCCAUCAAAUUUCUCCACCUCAAACCUGCCUUGAGUUGGCUCCAUCACAAAACUCCUUACGAUCUUUUAGAAUCAGUAGAACUGAAUAGCUUUAGCCAAGCUCUGAUACCACUGUUGGUUUUAUGAUCUAGUAUUCAAUUCUGAUGAGAUUCAGAUUGUAAGUGUUCUGUUUCUUUGUGCUGAGUUAGAUUUGUGUUUGAUGAUGUGUAGAAACUUAAGAACACCAGGAUAUACGAGUUCCCAAGAUCAACGUGAUCUCAGUACGUCUCGGUGAGCUUACACCAGCUCACAAGGGUAAUAUCCUUGAUGCAGAGAACAAGAAAGAUCACUUACCAAGCUCACGUCACUCACCGUUACAGAGAUUUAACCCAAAGAAGAAAACCAAAGAUGAACAAGCUUUUAUGAAAAAACAAGUCACACUCUCACGUAGCUUUUCUCUCACCCUCUCUCUAUCUUCUUUUCUCUGUGUAUUUGUGAAUUGUGUAGACCUCUUACUUGAUCCCUCUCUCACUGAUGAUUAUAUAUUCUGCAUCAAUACCCUUCUUCUUCCAGCUCCUGCUUUUUUACUUGUCAUUGAUUGACACCUACCAAUGACUCAGUUUCUCUGUUUCUUGGAAGCUAAAAACAGGACACAUUGUCGUUACUUCUUUGCAGGGUUUCCUCUGUCACAGACUUCUUGGGCUUGCUGUAACCACUAAGCCCACUGCAGAAGAAUAGCCCACCUAUCUGAGCCCAAUCACAACAACGACAGUAAAGAAUCUAAAUGAUGACUCUUCAAGAGAUUACUAACGUCGUUCAGUAGUUAUCAACUUAAUAUUUUGGUCAAAUUGUUUGUAUUCAGUUUGAUUGAAUUCUUCUAAUGGUCUUCCUUACCUUUUGUGACAUCAAAUGAAUGUAGAACUAGGUUCAUCUACUCAGGAUUUCCUAGACAUUAAAUUAACUUGGUCGUUUUUCUAGCUAAACGUUGUAAUCAGAUGUUGCAUCUAGAGACAUUGCAUGUAAAGAUUAUUUGGUCUUACCGUUAACCGUUGUAUUCAGAUGUUGCAUUUAGAGAUAUUGCAUUUAACAUUAUUUUAUUUUACUAUUAACUUUUAGUUCUUACAUAACUAGAUGUUAAUUUAUGUUAAUUUAUGUUAAUUUAAAU